UUUUAUACGAAGAAAAGAUAAGUAGUGAUUAAUGCAUUUAUAGAGAGCCUGUGUUUGGUGAAAACAGGUAAUGUCAUAUCAUGAAGAUGGUCUUGGAGUUUCGCUUUAGUGAGCGUGGUAAGAUUUUUGAAAUCAAAGCGACGUAAACUAUGGCCGGGAAAGCCCGUUAUAGCUGUUUUGAUUUUCUAAUCCUGUAUUGGAAGACUGAAGUUAAGGUGUGCAACAAAGCAUACGAAUAACGGGUGGUAACACGAGGAAUCGUCCCGCAA
Non-coding RNA from Leuconostoc mesenteroides subsp. mesenteroides ATCC 8293, 269 nucleotides. The record is from Rfam. NCBI's taxonomy places the organism in Bacteria, Bacillati, Bacillota, Bacilli, Lactobacillales, Lactobacillaceae.